UAAAGCUCAUAGGCUUCAGUAUAUAGAGCAUUUACGGAAAAUUAAAUAUUUUCGUAGGGGUUAACCAAUAGAUUUUGAGAAAAAUUCAAAAAAAUUCAAAAAAAUGAAAAUUCUAUUUUAAUGCAUAGUUGCAUCAUUCACUAACAUAUGAUGAAUGUCAAAUAGGUUUGGAACCUUUGUUGUCUCCGUUUUUCUAGAGAAUAGCGAUUUUAUAGUAGUUAGUCAACCAAUUUAGGGAAGUAUUAUGAAGUUUUACUAAAUUAAUUGACAAAAAAAUUUCAAUGAUGUCCAUGUACCAUGAAAGAGAGUUUAAUAUACAUUAAUACAAAUGUGGAAUGUGUUUAAAAUUUUAAAACAACACUAAAGCUCAUAUGCUUCAGUAUAUUGAGCAUUUACGGAAAAUUAAAUAUUUUCGUAGGGUGUUAACCCAUAGAUUUUGAAAAAAAUUCAAAAAAAUGAAAAUUCUGUUUUAAUACAUAGUUAAAUCCUUCACUAACAUAUGAUGAAGGUCAAAUAGGUUUGGAACCUUUGUUGUCUCUGUUUUUCUGGAGAAUAACGAUUUAUAGUGGUUAGUCAACCAAUUUAGGGAGUAUUCUGAAGAUUUACUAAAUUUAUUGACAAAAAAAAUUAAACGAUGUCCAUGUACCAUAAAAUAGAGUUUAUUAUACAUUAAUACAAAUGUAGAAUGUGUUUAGAAAUUUUAAAACAACACUAAUGCUCAUAGGCUUUAGAAUAUAGAGCAUUUAC
Brassica rapa (field mustard) is the source of this 747-nucleotide long non-coding RNA. RefSeq lists it as uncharacterized. Lineage: Eukaryota; Viridiplantae; Streptophyta; Magnoliopsida; Brassicales; Brassicaceae. The record is from RefSeq and is a predicted model, not a curated record.